GACGUCCUAUACCUAUCCUGAUCGCUGCAUUUACUGUGCUGUCCCUUAGCUGCUGACUGCACUGAUCUGAAGUGACUUCACUGAACCGGAGGGUGGGAUAUGGACCAGCCAGUCACUUUAGUAGAGAGCCCUCAUUUCAGGCAGCUUCAAAUGCCUCAUCAUUUCUGAACGAGUUUCAGCUCCAGGAGAUUUCAGUGCUGGAGGAAUUGCAAUAAGCUAUGAAACUUUAUCCCUUCUCAAGACUCUUCCAAGUCACUGGGGAACUCUGGCUUCCACGGCAUGGACAGCCUGGUCCGAGUGUGCAAAGCUGUGGCUUCCCCUCCUGUGGAUGCCUUCUGAACAGCAGAUCUGACUUCCUCCUCAAACCAAGGCAUCCUGAAAACAUCCAAGCAGAGGAAGCAUUUUUUCACCAUGACAUGGGAAAGGGCCAUAGAGAUCCAAAUGGAAACGGACAUUUCAUGCUUUGA
Molecule: long non-coding RNA, 467 nt
Filed under: Vulpes vulpes (red fox)
Lineage: Eukaryota; Metazoa; Chordata; Mammalia; Carnivora; Canidae
Description: lncRNA (ENSVVUG00000010900.1)
Source: RNAcentral